This 73-nucleotide transfer RNA is filed under the name Mus musculus (house mouse). RNAcentral describes it as "tRNA-Ala". Lineage: Eukaryota; Metazoa; Chordata; Mammalia; Rodentia; Muridae. The record is from RNAcentral.
GGGGAUGUCAUUUAGUUGGUAGAGUGCUUGCCCAGCAUGCACGAGGCCCUGGGUUCCAUCCUCAGCAGCACAU